GCGCGAUGGCUCAGUGGUAGAGCAGUUGUCUCGUAUCCAGAACAUCCCGGGUUCGAAACCAGGUUGACGCG
This 71-nucleotide transfer RNA is filed under the name Strongylocentrotus purpuratus (purple sea urchin). It matches the Rfam family "tRNA". From Rfam's summary of the family: Transfer RNA (tRNA) molecules are approximately 80 nucleotides in length. Their secondary structure includes four short double-helical elements and three loops (D, anti-codon, and T loops). Lineage: Eukaryota; Metazoa; Echinodermata; Echinoidea; Camarodonta; Strongylocentrotidae. The record is from Rfam by way of RNAcentral.